RNAcentral lists this ribosomal RNA (656 nucleotides) under Pseudomonas sp. RNAcentral describes it as "bacterial SSU rRNA". It matches the Rfam family "Bacterial small subunit ribosomal RNA", at positions 86 to 736 of the family's 1533-position model. Lineage: Bacteria; Pseudomonadati; Pseudomonadota; Gammaproteobacteria; Pseudomonadales; Pseudomonadaceae. The record is from RNAcentral.
GCCGGGCGAGCGGCGAGACGGGUGAGUAAUGCCUAGAGAAUCUGCCUGGUAGUGGGGGAUAACUCGGGGAAACUCGAGCUAAUACCGCAUACGUCCUACGGGAGAAAGUGGGGGAUCUUCGGACCUCACGCUAUCAGAUGAGCCUAGGUCGGAUUAGCUAGUUGGUGAGGUAAAGGCUCACCAAGGCGACGAUCCGUAUCUGGUCUGAGAGGAUGAUCAGUCACACUGGAACUGAGACACGGUCCAGACUCCUACGGGAGGCAGCAGUGGGGAAUAUUGGACAAUGGGCGAAAGCCUGAUCCAGCCGUGCCGCGUGUGUGAAGAAGGUCUUCGGAUUGUAAAGCACUUUACGUUGGGAGGAAGGGCAGUAAGUUAAUACCUUGCUGUUUUGACGUUACCAACAGAAUAAGCACCGGCUAACUUCGUGCCAGCAGCCGCGGUAAUACGAAGGGUGCGAGCGUUACUCGGAAUUACUGGGCGUAAAGCGCGCGUAUGUGGUUCAGCAAGUUGGAGGUGAAAUCCCCGGGCUCAACCUGGGAUCUGCCUCCAAAACUACUGGGCUAGAGUAUGGUAGAGGGUGGUGGAAUUUCCUGUGUAGCGGUGAAAUGCGUAUAUAUAAGAUGGAACACCAGUGGCAAACGCGACCACCUGGACUA